CAUUAGCUAGUUGGUAGGGGUAACGGGCCGUACCAAGGCGAUGAUGCAUAGCCCGAGUUGAGAGACUGAUCGGGCCACAUUGGGACUGAGACACGGCCAAACUCCUACGGGAGGCAGCAGUAGGGGAAUCUUCCACAAUGGACGCAAAGUCUGAUGGAGCAAAACGCCGCGUGAGUGAAGAAGGGUUUCGGCUCGUAAAAGCUCUGUUGUUGGUGAAGAAGGACAGGGGUAGUAACUGACCCUUUGUUUGACGGUAAUCAAUUUAGAAAGUCACGGGCUAACUACGUGCCCAGCAGCCGCGGUAAAU
RNAcentral lists this ribosomal RNA (307 nucleotides) under uncultured Bacillota bacterium. Its description in RNAcentral is "bacterial SSU rRNA". It matches the Rfam family "Bacterial small subunit ribosomal RNA", at positions 239 to 525 of the family's 1533-position model. The record is from RNAcentral. Lineage: Bacteria; Bacillati; Bacillota.